UUUUAGCCCCGAUAGAAGUGGAAAUCCUUGUGUGCUGGGGUUCGGCACACAAGAUUGAAACGGAUUGCGGGACCAAUC
RNAcentral lists this small RNA (78 nucleotides) under Flavobacterium aquicola. Its description in RNAcentral is "Flavo-1 RNA". It matches the Rfam family "Flavo-1 RNA". Lineage: Bacteria; Pseudomonadati; Bacteroidota; Flavobacteriia; Flavobacteriales; Flavobacteriaceae. The record is from RNAcentral.